RNAcentral lists this transfer RNA (77 nucleotides) under bacterium. RNAcentral describes it as "tRNA-Val". It matches the Rfam family "tRNA". From Rfam's summary of the family: Transfer RNA (tRNA) molecules are approximately 80 nucleotides in length. Their secondary structure includes four short double-helical elements and three loops (D, anti-codon, and T loops). Further hydrogen bonds mediate the characteristic L-shaped molecular structure. tRNAs have two regions of fundamental functional importance: the anti-codon, which is responsible for specific mRNA codon recognition, and the 3' end, to which the tRNAs corresponding amino acid is attached (by aminoacyl-tRNA synthetases). tRNAs cope with the degeneracy of the genetic code in two manners: having more than one tRNA (with a specific anti-codon) for a particular amino acid; and 'wobble' base-pairing, i.e. permitting non-standard base-pairing at the 3rd anti-codon position. The record is from RNAcentral. RNAcentral also lists the same sequence under 1 other name.
GGAGGAUUAGCUCAGUUGGUUAGAGCAGGACCUUUACACGGUCAAGGUCGGGGGUUCGAGUCCCUCAUCCUCCACCA